UAAAAGGGUGUUUGUCUCUUAUGGCAUGCGGGGACGGCGGCACUUGUGCUCGUCGCCCUGUAGGGUAUGGCAAUCAAGACAUACCCAACACAUAAUUUUUGUUCUCGGGGGCUGUCGGUUGCCAGUCGCACAGGCGCCCCU
Thrips palmi is the source of this 141-nucleotide small nuclear RNA. RefSeq annotates it as U11 spliceosomal RNA. The transcript has a single exon. NCBI's taxonomy places the organism in Eukaryota, Metazoa, Arthropoda, Insecta, Thysanoptera, Thripidae. The record is from RefSeq and is a predicted model, not a curated record.